AGAGUUUGAUCCUGGCUCAGGACGAACGCUGGCGGCGUGCCUAAUACAUGCAAGUCGAGCGCGGGAAGCAAGGUGAUCCUCUUCGGAGGUGACGCUUGUGGAACGAGCGGCGGACGGGUGAGUAACACGUGGGCAACCUGCCUGUAAGACUGGGAUAACCCCGGGAAACCGGGGCUAAUACCGGAUAAUACUUUUCAUCACCUGAUGAGAAGUUGAAAGGUGGCUUUUAGCUACCACUUACAGAUGGGCCCGCGGUGCAUUAGCUAGUUGGUGAGGUAACGGCUCACCAAGGCAACGAUGCGUAGCCGACCUGAGAGGGUGAUCGGCCACACUGGGACUGAGACACGGCCCAGACUCCUACGGGAGGCAGCAGUAGGGAAUCUUCCGCAAUGGACGAAAGUCUGACGGAGCAACGCCGCGUGAGUGAUGAAGGUUUUCGGAUCGUAAAGCUCUGUUGUUAGGGAAGAACAAGUGCCGUUCGAAUAGGGCGGCACCUUGACGGUACCUAACCAGAAAGCCCCGGCUAACUACGUGCCAGCAGCCGCGGUAAUACGUAGGGGGCAAGCGUUGUCCGGAAUUAUUGGGCGUAAAGCGAGGCGGUCCUUAAGGUCUGAUUUGAAAGCCCACGGCUCAACCGUGGAGGGGUCAUUGGAAACUGGAGGACUUGAGUACAGAGAGGAGAGUGGAAUUCCACGUGUAGCGCUGAAAUGCGUAGAGAUGUGGAGGAACACCAGUGGCGAAGGCGACUCUUCUGGUCUGUAACUGACGCUGAGGCGCGAAAGCGUGGGGAGCGAACAGGAUUAGAUACCCUGGUAGUCCACGCCGUAAACGAUGAGUGCUAGGUGUUAGGGGGUUUCCGCCCCUUAGUGCUGAAGUUAACGCAUUAAGCACUCCGCCUGGGGAGUACGGCCGCAAGGCUGAAACUCAAAAGAAUUGACGGGGGCCCGCACAAGCGGUGGAGCAUGUGGUUUAAUUCGACGCAACGCGAAGAACCUUACCAGGUCUUGACAUCCUCUGCAAUCGGUAGAGAUACCGAGUUCCCUUCGGGGACAGAGUGACAGGUGGUGCAUGGUUGUCGUCAGCUCGUGUCGUGAGAUGUUGGGUUAAGUCCCGCAACGAGCGCAACCCUUGAUCUUAGUUGCCAGCAUUUAGUUGGGCACUCUAAGGUGACUGCCGGUGACAAACCGGAGGAAGGUGGGGAUGACGUCAAAUCAUCAUGCCCCUUAUGACCUGGGCUACACACGUGCUACAAUGGAUGGAACAAAGGGAAGCAAAACCGCGAGGUCAAGCAAAUCCCAUAAAACCAUUCUCAGUUCGGAUUGCAGGCUGCAACUCGCCUGCAUGAAGCCGGAAUCGCUAGUAAUCGCGGAUCAGCAUGCCGCGGUGAAUACGUUCCCGGGCCUUGUACACACCGCCCGUCACACCACGAGAGUUGGUAACACCCGAAGUCGGUGAGGUAACCUUUUGGAGCCAGCCGCCGAAGGUGGGACCAAUGAUUGGGGUGAAGUCGUAACAAGGUA
RNAcentral lists this ribosomal RNA (1520 nucleotides) under Virgibacillus halodenitrificans. Its description in RNAcentral is "bacterial SSU rRNA". It matches the Rfam family "Bacterial small subunit ribosomal RNA". The record is from RNAcentral. Lineage: Bacteria; Bacillati; Bacillota; Bacilli; Caryophanales; Bacillaceae.